Molecule: unclassified non-coding RNA, 518 nt
Filed under: uncultured Glomeromycotina
Lineage: Eukaryota; Fungi; Glomeromycota
Description: SSU rRNA
Rfam family: Eukaryotic small subunit ribosomal RNA
Source: RNAcentral
CAGCCGCGUAAUUCCAGCUCCAAUAGCGUAUAUUAAAGUUGUUGCAGUUAAAAAGCUCGUAGUUGAAUUUCGGGAUCAGUUGAUCGGUCGUGCCUCGGUACGUACUGGUCAAAUUGAUUCCUACCUUCUGACGAACCACGAUGUCAUUAAUUUGAUGUCGCGGGAAAUCAGGACUGUUACUUUGAAAAAAUUAGAGUGUUUAAAGCAGGCUCGCGCUUGAAUACAUUAGCAUGGAAUAAUGAAAUAGGACGUUUGAUUCUAUUUUGUUGGUUUCUAGGAUCGACGUAAUGAUUAAUAGGGAUAGUUGGGGGCAUUAGUAUUCAAUUGUCAGAGGUGAAAUUCUUGGAUUUAUUGAAGACUAACUACUGCGAAAGCAUUUGCCAAGGAUGUUUUCAUUAAUCAAGAACGAAAGUUAGGGGAUCGAAGACGAUCAGAUACCGUCGUAGUCUUAACCAUAAACUAUGCCGACUAGGAAUCGGAUGAUGUUAAUUUUUUAAUGACUCAUUCGGCGCCUUACG